UGGUUAGACGAGCCACAUUUUCAGUCAGUGAAGUGGUGAGGAUGCUGACAAUCUGUUGGUCUGUGGUAAACCAAGCUUCAUACUCGGGAUUGGGAAUGGUUUUGGGAGGGCUGCCUUCUGUGAUGGUGGGAGAGGGUUGAGUAAUCAAACCAUCAACAUAACCCCAAAGCUUGGCACCAUGAAGAUAGGGCUUGAGCUGACGAAGCCAGACAAGAUAGUUGGAUUCGGUGAGUUUGGUAAAUUGGGCAGUGUUUUGGGAAGGAGGGUUGGAAGAGGAGGAAGCCAUGAGAGAGGAAAUAUGGAGACCUGGAGACGAGGAGGAAAAACACAGGUGCUGAAGGAAAGAGGAAUCUGUAAACCAGCUGUAGACAAAUCAUUCAAUGGAGAUUGAUUGGUGGAGGAGAUGGAUUGUCUCUAACAGGUGCUUUAGCUGAAGGAGACAAGAUCACCUUAGAAACUGCAAAGCUGUUGAGAGAGAAUUCUCUCGCGCAGGAUGCAUUUACUCCGGUGGACAGAUAUGAGAAAUUCUGCCCUUUCUAGUCUGUUUGGAUGAUGCAGAAUAUCAUCCAUUUCUUUAAUUUAGCAAAUCAGGUGAACUAUUCUGUUCAAAUCCUUUCUUAUAUGACCUACCAUUAUGUUUGAAGAAUUCAUGUCUAUUUAGGUUGAAGCAUUUUAGGGCAAGGAAAACAGAUAAUAAUAUUGUCUUUCCCGGUCUUCUUUCUGGGAACCAAUCCCAGAAAGGUGCAACUUCAUUAGAUGUGACCCAAAGGAUUUCCUUGCCAUAAUACCGAAAAGGUGGCCGUUGUGACACAAUUUAUCAUUCUGAAGACCCAGUGCGGAUGAAAUCCAAGUCUGAACAUUAUAGCCUCCAAGAAACACCACUCAACCCUAUCAUAAACCUUGGCCAUGUCAACUUUAUUAGAUGUUUAAUUAGAUAAGUGAACGUAUCAAUGUCUACAGGCUAUAGAGAGAGCAGCUGAUAUGAAUGAUCAAAAGAUCAAUUAUAGUAUAAUUGAGCACCGUAUGGGAGAUCUCUUUUACCGUCUAAUGUCUAAAAAUUUGAGGAACCUGCUGAAGGCGAACUAGCUCUUGUGGCAAAAUUUAAGAAGCUACACGAUUACUUGACGAUUUGAGGAUGUAACUCGAUAAUUGGACUUAGACAUUUUCUAGAUGGUUCUAGUUGCUGUUAUAAAUUGCAUGGUGAUGACAAUUGGAGUUACUGUGGUUUUUGUUGUGCAUGAAAAAAGGCAGUGUUAGGUUUUUGUGACGCCAUUUUUGCUUUACUUAUGUGGCGGUUGCUCUAGUUUGGAUGUGUAGUUUCAAUGAUUGUAUUCAUGUCACUCCCUUCAAGUUUUUACCCAGAAUAAG
Molecule: long non-coding RNA, 1368 nt
Filed under: Rosa chinensis
Lineage: Eukaryota; Viridiplantae; Streptophyta; Magnoliopsida; Rosales; Rosaceae
Description: sRNA RchiOBHm_Chr4g0407161
Source: RNAcentral